RNAcentral lists this ribosomal RNA (253 nucleotides) under uncultured bacterium. RNAcentral's name for it is "partial 16S ribosomal RNA". It matches the Rfam family "Bacterial small subunit ribosomal RNA", at positions 524 to 776 of the family's 1533-position model. The record is from RNAcentral.
UACGGGGGGGGCAAGCGUUGUUCGGAAUUACUGGGCGUAAAGGGCUCGUAGGCGGCCAACUAAGUCGGAUGUGAAAUCCCCAGGCUCAACCUGGGAACUGCAUCCGAUACUGGAUGGCUUGAAUUCGGGAGAGGGAUGCAGAAUUCCAGGUGUAGCGGUGAAAUGCGUAGAUAUCGGGAGGAACACCUGUGGCGAAAGCGGCGCACUGGACCAUAACUGACGCUGAGGCGCGAAAGCUAGGGGAGCAAACAGG